AUGCUUACCUGGCAGGGAGAAACCACGAUCACGAAGGUGGUUUUCCCAGGGCAAGGCUUAUCCAUUGCACUCCGGAUGUGCUGACCCCUGCAAUUUACCCAAAUGUGGGAAACUCGACUGCAUAAUUUGUGGUAGUGGGGGACUGUGUUUGCGCUUUCCCCAA
Molecule: small nuclear RNA, 163 nt
Filed under: Aotus nancymaae (Ma's night monkey)
Lineage: Eukaryota; Metazoa; Chordata; Mammalia; Primates; Aotidae
Description: U1 spliceosomal RNA (ENSANAG00000009654.1)
Rfam family: U1 spliceosomal RNA
About the family: U1 is a small nuclear RNA (snRNA) component of the spliceosome (involved in pre-mRNA splicing).
Source: Rfam by way of RNAcentral